Arachis ipaensis is the source of this 369-nucleotide non-coding RNA. The record is from RefSeq and is a predicted model, not a curated record. Lineage: Eukaryota; Viridiplantae; Streptophyta; Magnoliopsida; Fabales; Fabaceae.
AUGGAUGCAAGGGCAAGAUAUGAAUUGCAGUUUGGGUCACAAUUGGUGUAUUAUGUGGCCUGCUCUUCGUUUCAUGUUUGAUAUGGAAUGGACGAAAAAAGGCCACUUUGAAAGCAUUGUUGAAAAUCCCCUUGUUUGUGCAACUGGAAAAGAACCAAACUGCUGUGGCAUGAGUCAAUGUCCAUGAACUUAAAUGGCACUGAAGUUUUCGGUUUUGGCCUUGUUCUUUGGUGGAAGCACAAGCACAAUCAAAAAACAUUCUUUGAUGUUAAAGGUACUUUCCAAUUAGUAUUAUAGUUAGCAUUUUCUUCUUCUUUAAUACUAUAAUAGUUCCUUUAAUUCAUGUACAGCUAAGAGUCUGUUACUUAU